CAAUAGCGUAUAUUAAAGUUGUUGCAGUUAAAAAGCUCGUAGUUGGAUUUCUGGUGGGAGCGAUCGGUCUGGCGCUUAGCGCGAGUACUUGCAUCGUCUCCGGCCAUCCUUGGGGAGAGUCUGUCUGGCAUUAGGUUGUCGGGCAGAGGAUCCUCAUCGUUUACUGUGAAAAAAUUAGAGUGUUCAAAGCAGGCUUAUGCCGUUGAAUAUAUUAGCAUGGAAUAAUAAGAUAGGACUUUGGUACUAUUUUGUUGGUUUGCGUUACGAAGUAAUGAUUAAUAGGGACAGUUGGGGGUAUUCGUAUUUCGUUGUCAGAGGUGAAAUUCUUGGAUUUCCGAAAGACGAACUACUGCGAAAGCAUUUACCAAGGAUGUUUUCAUUAA
RNAcentral lists this ribosomal RNA (383 nucleotides) under uncultured eukaryote. RNAcentral describes it as "partial 18S ribosomal RNA". It matches the Rfam family "Eukaryotic small subunit ribosomal RNA", at positions 592 to 976 of the family's 1831-position model. The record is from RNAcentral.